RNAcentral lists this unclassified non-coding RNA (19 nucleotides) under synthetic construct. The record is from RNAcentral.
ACCUCACCAAGGCCAGCAC